ACUCAUUUAUUCCCGAGAGGGACCCACUUGC
This 31-nucleotide non-coding RNA is filed under the name Rattus norvegicus (Norway rat). Lineage: Eukaryota; Metazoa; Chordata; Mammalia; Rodentia; Muridae. The record is from RNAcentral.